GCCGGGUUAUGCGGGCAAGGUCGGCGUGUUGCCCUGGGGUGACAACGUGCACGAAGUACCGUUCGAUGCCGUUGCCGGGCA
This 81-nucleotide transfer RNA is filed under the name Ralstonia thomasii. RNAcentral describes it as "Ralstonia sp. LMG 18095 tRNA-Pro". Lineage: Bacteria; Pseudomonadati; Pseudomonadota; Betaproteobacteria; Burkholderiales; Burkholderiaceae. The record is from RNAcentral.